RNAcentral lists this ribosomal RNA (456 nucleotides) under uncultured bacterium. Its description in RNAcentral is "SSU rRNA". It matches the Rfam family "Bacterial small subunit ribosomal RNA", at positions 26 to 518 of the family's 1533-position model. The record is from RNAcentral.
AGAACGAACGCUGGCGGCAUGCCUAACACAUGCAAGUCGAACGCUCCUGGGAUUUCGGUCUCAGGGGAGUGGCGCACGGGUGAGUAGCGCGUGGGAACCUGCCCUGUUGUGGGGGAUAACCGAGGGAAACUUGUGCUAAUACCGGAUAAGCCCUUACGGGGAAAGAUUUAUCGCCGAAAGAUUGGCCCGCGUCUGAUUAGCUAGUUGGUGAGGUAAUGGCUCACCAAGGCGACGAUCAGUAGCUGGUCUGAGAGGAUGAUCAGCCACAUUGGGACUGAGACACGGCCCAAACUCCUACGGGAGGCAGCAGUGGGGAAUAUUGGACAAUGGGGGCAACCCUGAUCCAGCCAUGCCGCGUGAGUGAUGAAGGCCCUAGGGUUGUAAAGCUCUUUUGUGCGGGAAGAUAAUGACGGUACCGCAAGAAUAAGCCCCGGCUAACUUCGCGCCAGCAGCCGC